GGCAGUGCUUUUAUAAGUUUAAAGAUAUAAUAUGCAAUGCUUUCCUCAAAAAAACUAUGUAUAGACUAAUACAAAAGUAUGUAGUUCCUCUUCAAUCAUCACUGAUGACCCACUAGAAGUGUGUGGUGGUGUGUGUACUGUAUCUGCAGAGACCCUGC
Long non-coding RNA from Sander lucioperca (pikeperch), 158 nucleotides. RefSeq lists it as uncharacterized. NCBI's taxonomy places the organism in Eukaryota, Metazoa, Chordata, Actinopteri, Perciformes, Percidae. The transcript is spliced from 3 exons. The record is from RefSeq and is a predicted model, not a curated record.